Molecule: ribosomal RNA, 1263 nt
Filed under: metagenome
Description: bacterial LSU rRNA
Rfam family: Bacterial large subunit ribosomal RNA
Source: RNAcentral
CUUAAGGCGAUCGAGAGAACUGUGGUUAAGGAACUCGGCAAAAUACCCCCGUAACUUCGGGAGAAGGGGGACCACGUCUGGUGACGAUCUUCACGAUCCGAGCUGGGUGUGGUCGCAGAGACCAGAGAGAAGCGACUGUUUACUAAAAACACAGGUCCGUGCGAAGUCGUAAGACGAUGUAUACGGACUGACGCCUGCCCGGUGCUGGAAGGUUAAGAGGACCGGUUAAUCACUUCGGUGGUGAAGCUGAGAAUUUAAGCCCCAGUAAACGGCGGUGGUAACUAUAACCAUCCUAAGGUAGCGAAAUUCCUUGUCGGGUAAGUUCCGACCUGCACGAAUGGCGUAACGACUUCUCUGCUGUCUCAACCACAGACUCGGCGAAAUUGCAGUACGAGUAAAGAUGCUCGUUACGCGCGGCAGGACGAAAAGACCCCGGGACCUUCACUAUAGUUUGGUAUUGGUGUUCGGUUCGGUUUGUGUAGGAUAGGUGGGAGACUGUGAAACCCGCACGCCAGUGUGGGUGGAGUCGUUGUUGAAAUACCACUCUGAUCGUAUUGGAUACCUCAACCUCGGACCAUGAUCUGGUUCAGGGACAGUGCCUGAUGGGUAGUUUAACUGGGGCGGUUGCCUCCCAAAAUGUAACGGAGGCGCCCAAAGGUUCCCUCAGCCUGGUUGGCAAUCAGGUGUUGAGUGUAAGUGCACAAGGGAGCUUGACUGUGAGACGGACAUGUCGAGCAGGGACGAAAGUCGGGACUAGUGAUCCGGCACCGGCAAGUGGAAGCGGUGUCGCUCAACGGAUAAAAGGUACCCCGGGGAUAACAGGCUGAUCUUCCCCAAGAGUCCAUAUCGACGGGAUGGUUUGGCACCUCGAUGUCGGCUCGUCGCAUCCUGGGGCUGGAGUAGGUCCCAAGGGUUGGGCUGUUCGCCCAUUAAAGCGGCACGCGAGCUGGGUUUAGAACGUCGUGAGACAGUUCGGUCUCUAUCCGCCGCGCGCGUAAGAAACUUGAGGAAACCUGUCCCUAGUACGAGAGGACCGGGACGGACGAACCUCUGGUGUGCCAGUUGUUCCACCAGGAGCACUGCUGGUUAGCUACGUUCGGAAGGGAUAACCGCUGAAAGCAUCUAAGCGGGAAGCCUGUUCCAAGAUGAGGUUUCUCACCACCAUCGCGUGGUUAAGGCCCCCCACAGACCAUGGGGUUGAUAGGCCAGAACUGGAAGCCCAGCAAUGGGUGCAGGUGACUGGUACUAAUCGGCCGAGGACUC